This 497-nucleotide ribosomal RNA is filed under the name uncultured bacterium. RNAcentral describes it as "partial 16S ribosomal RNA". It matches the Rfam family "Bacterial small subunit ribosomal RNA", at positions 28 to 507 of the family's 1533-position model. The record is from RNAcentral.
GAUGAACGCUGGCGGCGUGCCUAAUACAUGCAAGUCGAGCGAACAGGCAAGGAGCUUGCUCCUCUGACGUUAGCGGCGGACGGGUGAGUAACACGUGGAUAACCUACCUAUAAGACUGGGAUAACUUCGGGAAACCGGAGCUAAUACCGGAUAAUAUAUUGAACCGCAUGGUUCAAUAGUGAAAGACGGUUUUGCUGUCACUUAUAGAUGGAUCCGCGCCGCAUUAGCUAGUUGGUAAGGUAACGGCUUACCAAGGCAACGAUGCGUAGCCGACCUGAGAGGGUGAUCGGCCACACUGGAACUGAGACACGGUCCAGACUCCUACGGGAGGCAGCAGUAGGGAAUCUUCCGCAAUGGGCGAAAGCCUGACGGAGCAACGCCGCGUGAGUGAUGAAGGUCUUCGGAUCGUAAAACUCUGUUAUUAGGGAAGAACAAAUGUGUAAGUAACUAUGCACGUCUUGACGGUACCUAAUCAGAAAGCCACGGCUAACUACGUG